This 492-nucleotide ribosomal RNA is filed under the name uncultured bacterium. RNAcentral describes it as "partial 16S ribosomal RNA". It matches the Rfam family "Bacterial small subunit ribosomal RNA", at positions 29 to 507 of the family's 1533-position model. The record is from RNAcentral.
CGUUAACGCUGGCGGUAGGCCUAACACAUGCAAGUCGAACGGCAGCACAGUAAGAGCUUGCUCUUACGGGUGGCGAGUGGCGGACGGGUGAGGAAUACAUCGGAAUCUACUUUUUCGUGGGGGAUAACGUAGGGAAACUUACGCUAAUACCGCAUACGACCUACGGGUGAAAGCAGGGGAUCUUCGGACCUUGCGCGAUUGAAUGAGUCGAUGUCGGAUUAGCUAGUUGGCGGGGUAAAGGCCCACCAAGGCGACGAUCCGUAGCUGGUCUGAGAGGAUGAUCAGCCACACUGGAACUGAGACACGGUCCAGACUCCUACGGGAGGCAGCAGUGGGGAAUAUUGGACAAUGGGCGCAAGCCUGAUCCAGCCAUACCGCGUGGGUGAAGAAGGCCUUCGGGUUGUAAAGCCCUUUUGUUGGGAAAGAAAAGCAGCAGGUUAAUACCCCGCUGUUCUGACGGUACCCAAAGAAUAAGCACCGGCUAACUUCGUG